Molecule: ribosomal RNA, 497 nt
Filed under: uncultured bacterium
Lineage: Bacteria
Description: partial 16S ribosomal RNA
Rfam family: Bacterial small subunit ribosomal RNA
Source: RNAcentral
GAUGAACGCUGGCGGCGUGCCUAAUACAUGCGAGUCGAGCGAACAGACGAGGAGCUUGCUCCUUCGACGUUAGCGGCGGACGGGUGAGUAACACGUAGGUAACCUACCUAUAAGACUGGGAUAACUUCGGGAAACCGGAGCUAAUACCGGAGAAUAUUUCGAACCGCAUGGUUCGAUAGUGAAAGAUGGCUUUGCUAUCACUUAUAGAUGGACCUGCGCCGUAUUAGCUAGUUGGUAAGGUAACGGCUUACCAAGGCAACGAUACGUAGCCGACCUGUGAGGGUGAUCGGCCACACUGGAAGUGAGACACGGUCCAGACUCCUACGGGAGGCAGCAGUAGGGAAUGUUCGGCAAUGGGCGAAAGCCUGACGGAGCAACGCCGCGUGAGUGAUGAAGGUCUUCGGAGCGUAAAACUCUGUUAUUAGGGAAGAACAAACGUGUAAGUAACUGUGCACGUCUUGACGGUACCUAAUCAGAAAGCCACGGCUAACUACGUG